This is a non-coding RNA of Podarcis lilfordi (Lilford's wall lizard), 69 nucleotides long. The record is from the annotation of a GenBank genome assembly. NCBI's taxonomy places the organism in Eukaryota, Metazoa, Chordata, Lepidosauria, Squamata, Lacertidae.
UUUCCUGAGUGGUGUGUGUGUGUGUGUGUGUGUGUACGUACACACACACACACACAUGAGAUUGGGAGA